ACAACGAGCAGAGCUUCAGGGAACUGAGGAAGAUGAAGACGAUCAAUGUGGGGCAUCAUCAUCACUCAGUCACCAUCUGGCCAACUUGUAGAUUAUAGAUAAAACUGCAGUUCUGCCAAAUUUCACAAUUGAGUUUUAAAUCCAAAGAUUCAGCUUCACAGAGAUGAAGAGCAGGUGGAAAAAACUGGAGAUAAUAAUACGAAUCAAACAGAUGAGGCCGAGUUUACCGACAGACCUGUGAUAUAAAUGUCAGUCAGAUAUUCACAACAUCACCUGUGAUUAUUUUCCAUCCCUGUAACUGAUCACAACCCAGUAAACGAUUGAUCACUGAUCAGCGUGUGCUCCGUGUUUAGAUUUCUCUGUGUGAAUGUUCACUGCAGUGCGUCUCCUGUUUCCUCUCCUGCUGCUGUUUGUGGCUCCAAAACAAACUGACAGUAUUUGGUAGUGAAAUGGCGCCACCUCGUGUCUAUGCGAUGCAAUUCACUGACGUCACAGACAGUUCAAGUUCAUCCUUCCUGUCUUUGUUACAGGUGAUGAGGCUGUCAUCGAAGGACUCAGGAUACAUCUGAUGGCUGCAGUCUGUUCUGUUAUUUCCUAGAUGCGUGGACGACGUCUUAUGCAGAAGGUGCACUCUGAAACAGACAGGAGACUGUAAGGUGGAGUCAGGUGGAAACUGAAGAAGGAGGAGACAGCCUCUGCGUGGUGUAGAAGAGUACCAGAUGACUGAAGUGCUGAGUUUCUCACUUUGGCCACCAGAGGGCAGUGAACACUCAUCACAAUCCACAGUCAACAGCAAGUAAAAACAUCAAAACAACCCCUGAUUCUC
Long non-coding RNA from Haplochromis burtoni (Burton's mouthbrooder), 826 nucleotides. RefSeq lists it as uncharacterized. The transcript has 3 exons. NCBI's taxonomy places the organism in Eukaryota, Metazoa, Chordata, Actinopteri, Cichliformes, Cichlidae. The record is from RefSeq and is a predicted model, not a curated record.